This 805-nucleotide ribosomal RNA is filed under the name uncultured bacterium. RNAcentral describes it as "bacterial SSU rRNA". It matches the Rfam family "Bacterial small subunit ribosomal RNA", at positions 8 to 796 of the family's 1533-position model. The record is from RNAcentral.
AGAGUUUGAUCAUGGCUCAGAACGAACGUUAGCGGCGCGCUUAAUACAUGCAAGUCGAGCGAGAAAGGGCUUCGGCCCCAGUAAAGCGGCGCACGGGUGAGUAACACGUAGGUGAUCUACCCUCGGGUGGUGGAUAACAUCCCGAAAGGGGUGCUAAUACAGCAUGACACCGCGGUGUUUUACAUCGCGGUCAAAGUGGGCCUCUCUAUAGAAGCUCACGCCUGAGGACGAGCCUGCGGCGCAUCAGCUAGUUGGUGAGGUAAUGGCUCACCAAGGCUAAGACGCGUAGCUGGUCUGAGAGGAUGAACAGCCACACUGGAACUGAGACACGGUCCAGACUCCUACGGGAGGCAGCAGUAGGGAAUCUUGCGCAAUGGGCGAAAGCCUGACGCAGCGACGCCGCGUGAGUGAUGAAGGCCUUCGGGUUGUAAAGCUCUGUGGAGAGGGAAGAAUAAGUGCAGGUUAACACCCUGCAUGAUGACGGUAUCUCUUUAGCAAGCACCGGCUAACUCUGUGCCAGCAGCCGCGGUAAGACAGAGGGUGCAAACGUUGUUCGGAAUCACUGGGCGUAAAGCGCGUGUAGGCGGCUUGGCAAGUCGGAUGUGAAAGCCCAGGGCUCAACCCUGGAAGUGCACUCGAAACUGCUUCGCUAGAGUCCUGGAGAGGAAGGCGGAAUACUUGGUGUAGAGGUGAAAUUCGUAGAUAUCAAGUAGAACACCGGUGGCGAAGGCGGCCUUCUGGACAGUGACUGACGCUGAGACGCGAAAGCGUGGGGAGCAAACAGGAUUAGAUACCCUAGUAGUCC